This is a long non-coding RNA of Mus musculus (house mouse), 653 nucleotides long. RefSeq annotates it as predicted gene, 32194. NCBI's taxonomy places the organism in Eukaryota, Metazoa, Chordata, Mammalia, Rodentia, Muridae. The record is from RefSeq and is a predicted model, not a curated record. The transcript is spliced from 3 exons.
GGCUGAGAACCACGGAUCUAGGGCCUGGCCCACUCCCGGGCCUGCUCCCUACCUGGUUCAUUCCUGAGCAUGCUCAAUUUCAGGCCAUGAUUUUAAAAGGAAAGGCAGUAGACACGUUUUGGGGUGUGCUUAGCUCAAGGUCAUGGUGCAUUUGUUUAAAAGGUUAAAGAGACGAAUGCUCAGGUUACUUCGAAAAGAUCUGGCUUGAAUUGUAUUAACUUUGGAGUUUGCCCAGGAGGGUGCCCGCCUCACUUAAGCAGUGAGCAUCUUUAGAGAUACUGGUCCUUGAGUGCACACGGAGACAGCAUAGUCUGGACCGCAUGGCUUCUGAUCAACCCAGAUGUAUGUGCAUCACUCUCUGUGCCUCGGAUUCUGUAAUGGAGAGAAUGACUUACUGAUGGUGUAGGGACGCUGAGGAUGCGUGGAGUAGCUGUGGACCAUGGGUGAAUUACUAGCUUGCAAAGCCUCACUGGAAGACAUAUUCUCUUCUGGCCCGAAGCUCAGGCAGGAUCAUCUUUGACCAGAACUACUGAGGACAGGACCCAGAAUCUGCCAUCAGCCACCACCUCAUCCCCAUUUUGUCUGGAGCUCAGUGUGUGUGUGUGUGUGUGUGUGUGUGCCUACCAAAUACACAUGUGUUGUUCUGACCUCCA